UACGUAGGGUGCGAGCGUUAAUCGGAAUUACUGGGCGUAAAGCGUGCGCAGGCGGUUCGUUGUGUCGGCGGUGAAAGCCCCGGGCUUAACCUGGGAAUGGCCGUCGAAACUGGCGAACUGGAGUGUGGCAGAGGGGGUGGAAUUCCGCGUGUAGCAGUGAAAUGCGUAGAGAUGCGGAGGAACACCGAUGGCGAAGGCAGCCCCUGGGCUGACACUGACGCUCAGGCACGAAAGCGUGGGGAGCAAACAGG
RNAcentral lists this ribosomal RNA (251 nucleotides) under uncultured bacterium. RNAcentral describes it as "partial 16S ribosomal RNA". It matches the Rfam family "Bacterial small subunit ribosomal RNA", at positions 524 to 776 of the family's 1533-position model. The record is from RNAcentral.